This 58-nucleotide transfer RNA is filed under the name Apaloderma vittatum (bar-tailed trogon). It matches the Rfam family "tRNA", at positions 8 to 63 of the family's 71-position model. Rfam says of the family: Transfer RNA (tRNA) molecules are approximately 80 nucleotides in length. Their secondary structure includes four short double-helical elements and three loops (D, anti-codon, and T loops). The record is from Rfam by way of RNAcentral. Lineage: Eukaryota; Metazoa; Chordata; Aves; Trogoniformes; Trogonidae.
UAGCUCAGUCAGUUGAGCGUAACGCUAACAACGUCAAGGUGGCGGGUUCAAUUCCCGC